RNAcentral lists this transfer-messenger RNA (357 nucleotides) under Campylobacter coli. It matches the Rfam family "transfer-messenger RNA". From Rfam's summary of the family: Bacterial tmRNA, also known as 10Sa RNA or SsrA, is named for its dual tRNA and mRNA-like properties. Lineage: Bacteria; Pseudomonadati; Campylobacterota; Epsilonproteobacteria; Campylobacterales; Campylobacteraceae. The record is from RNAcentral.
GGGAGCGACUUGGCUUCGACAGGAGUAAGUCUGCUUAGAUGGCAUGUCGCUUUGGGCAAAGCGUAAAAAGCCCAAAUAAAAUUAAACGCAAACAACGUUAAAUUCGCUCCUGCUUACGCUAAAGCUGCGUAAGUUCAGUUGAGCCUGAAAUUUAAGUCAUACUAUCUAGCUUAAUUUUCGGUCAUUUUUGAUAGUGUAGCCUUGCGUUUGACAAGCGUUGAGGUGAAAUAAAGUCUUAGCCUUGCUUUUGAGUUUUGGAAGAUGAGCGAAGUAGGGUGAAGUAGUCAUCUUUGCUAAGCAUGUAGAGGUCUUUGUGGGAUUAUUUUUGGACAGGGGUUCGAUUCCCCUCGCUUCCAC